ACGGAGCUGAAGUAACUGAUACCACGCUUCCAGGAAAAGCCACUAAGCGAAAGGCUUUACUAAACCGUACUGAAAACCGACACAGGUGGUCAGGUAGAGGGGAAACAGGUUAAUAUUCCUGUACUUGGUAAAGCUGCGAUGUGGGACGGAGUAGGUUAGGUUGUCGCACUGUUGGAUAUGUGCGUUUAAGUUGGUAGGUGGGAAGUUUAGGCAAAUCCGGACUUCCUUAACACAGAGAGAUGAUGACGAGGCUCUACGGAGCUGAAGUAACUGAUACCACGCUUCCAGGAAAAGCCACUAAGCGAAAGGCUUUACUAAACCGUACUGAAAACCGACACAGGUGGUCAGGUAGAG
This 354-nucleotide ribosomal RNA is filed under the name Aeromonas veronii. Its description in RNAcentral is "bacterial LSU rRNA". It matches the Rfam family "Bacterial large subunit ribosomal RNA", at positions 1379 to 1676 of the family's 2925-position model. The record is from RNAcentral. Lineage: Bacteria; Pseudomonadati; Pseudomonadota; Gammaproteobacteria; Aeromonadales; Aeromonadaceae.